RNAcentral lists this long non-coding RNA (894 nucleotides) under Olea europaea subsp. europaea. The record is from RNAcentral. Lineage: Eukaryota; Viridiplantae; Streptophyta; Magnoliopsida; Lamiales; Oleaceae.
CUAACACACAAUUACUGUCACAGACACGUACUGGUCACAAAUUGCACAAAAUCAUAAUCAGAAAGGCACAAGUGUAUGUCACAAUAAGAAAUUUUUUUACAAAUCACAUAUUUCUUUGAUCACAAAUUACUAAUUAUAUUGAUGACGAUUUACCCAAGUAAUUAGUCACAAAUGCAUUUUGUCCCAUUCACUACUCCACCAUCAAUGGCAUCAUCACUCAAACUCCACUGUUACCGCACCACCACCACCACCUCAAAUUCACCUUCACUUCCACCUCUGCCACCACUCAAAUGUCGCUACUACCUGACCACCAUCACCAGCUCCUUCACUAAUAAUCACCAUCUCCUCGAAUUCACCAUCACCUCUACCUCCGCUGCACCAUCACAUCCAUUUCCAACCAACCACACAGACACGCACGACCAGAGAUGCAAAGAUGCACCUCUUGUUUCCACAGAGCCCACACAGUCAGAGCUUUGUUCACCUCUUCUUCGUACAGUAAAACUAUGUUGCAGCUUUAAGGCAUAUUCAACGUCGCCAGAUUCACUAAACUGCGAGGCAUUUAUGAAGGAUAUGAAUUUUUUUGGUCGUCAGACUGGAACUUUAUAGCCAUGUUCACCUCUAUGGUUUGAUUGGCUGGGGUUCAAGGCUAGAAAAAGUGAUGGCAACGACAAGUGGCAAGAGACGAUGAAGAAAAUUUCUAAGAAUGAGAGAGUGAAAAUUUAAUAGGAAGCAGGUGGGUUGAGGUCAUGGAUUGGGCGGUGGUGGGAGACGGUGAGAGGAUAGUAGUGUUGACGGGGCAACAAUGCUGGGAAUGAUAGUGAGACUGGUGAUGGAAGGCCAAAGGUUGAGAAAUGCGAGAGGUGGGCACAAAUUUUGACUUGAGAAAUGGGUAAA